Pseudophryne corroboree (corroboree frog) is the source of this 1112-nucleotide long non-coding RNA. RefSeq lists it as uncharacterized. The record is from RefSeq and is a predicted model, not a curated record. Lineage: Eukaryota; Metazoa; Chordata; Amphibia; Anura; Myobatrachidae. The transcript is spliced from 3 exons.
GGGGGGAGGGAUGUAAAAGUGGGUCAGGAUGGAAUGUAACCAGACUCUGCCCCUCCUGCAGAUACAGGCUGCUCUGCCUUCCUGUUAUACAGCCGGUCCGCUGCUGCUGCUGCUGCUGCUGGCAUUCCUCUGUUGAUAUUCGCUGAUGGUAACCAGGGGACCCUAAAGGAUGUUUCUGUCAUCCUAGAGAAAGAAAAUGUAGUUGCCAAAGUAACAAAGUUUGGCUUGAAGGCAGUGAUGCAGUAACUUUCUUAGGUUUCAACAGGUUCAAGUUCCACAAGCAGUUUGAAAGGAUGAUAAAAUGUCAAUAAUUAGGGAAGGACUACAUGGGAAUACAAAGUACCAUGGUACAUUAUAUAAAAAUGGCAAGCGGGAGUUAAUUGGUACUAUUAUCUCAUUAUGCAUAUGGAAAGUACACAGAGCCAUCAUAACUUAGUUUCCGGGCUUUUGGAACGCUUAAGUCAAGCAUAUGGAAUGUACAUCAGAGCUAUUAUAACUCCGUUUCCGGGAUUUGGAACGCAAAAGUUAAAGAGGAAGCCACUUCUAGAACCCUUAACCACUUGUUCUGUAACUAGCGCUAAGCGGAAAUACGUCACCCGCAUCACUUCCAGUCUAUGGAACGCAAACUUCCGGUUUCCAUGUCCACGGUGGAACACAAAUCAGGGGAGACUUUUUUUUCAAUUAGGAACUGCAAUUUCCGGAUUAGGGCUUUAAAUAUCAGCCCAGGACAGCAGUGGUUUAUGCACUUGACAAAGGAUGAAGAACAUCUGAAACGCGUUGUACUAUUGAACCGCAUCUCCGUUUGAACUCCUGCUGGAAACCGUCUAUUCCAUCUGGGCCAAGCUUGUGGUGUGUUGCUGGUUUGUCAACCAGCAGCUCCAACAUCUAGGCACACACCACAUAUCCCGCACGUUAUAAAUCAGGAGUAUUGAACAUUUGCACUAUGUGAUACUAGCACUGGAAUUUGGCUAAAAUGUUUUGUCCCUAAUAGGUGUUUGCACUGUGUCACUUUGUGCAAUAUUCUGCUUUUUAUCUUUUAUGUAUAUAUGUAUCUAACAGAAGGUAGUGCAUUGUGUCACUUUAUACCUGAUGUUAAUUUUUCAAUAAAUGUG